Molecule: long non-coding RNA, 1368 nt
Filed under: Piliocolobus tephrosceles (Ugandan red Colobus)
Lineage: Eukaryota; Metazoa; Chordata; Mammalia; Primates; Cercopithecidae
Description: lncRNA (ENSPTEG00000023540.1)
Source: RNAcentral
GAAUGGAUGAAUGGAUGAAUGGAUGAAAGAAUGAACGAAUGAAUAAGCAGUGUUGUAAGGGUUAACAAUUAUUUAUAAAACAACUAAACGAAUUUUUUUUGCAUCUUGCAUUUUCGCUUCAACAAGUCAUAUUAUAAAACCAAUGAUCAUACUUUUACAAAAGCGGAGAAAACAAAGUGAAAAAUGUAAAAUAAACAAAAAAGGUAGCUGUUGAGUAACUUUAAAAAAAAAUAAAAUAAAAUAAAAUAAAAUAAAAUUAUCUUACCUAAAAUGCAAAUAUAUUUCAACAAAAGGACAAAACGAGCCCUUAUAUUAUAACAAACAAAAUUUUAUAAAAUAUUUUUCUUUGUGCUUAAAUAGGGGUUAUACUCCUUAGUAUAAGCAUGUAUAUGUACAUAUACAUAAUAUGUACAAGUGCGUAUACAUAAUUUAUACUUUUUUUUUUUUUUUUUUUUUUUUUUUUUUUCUUAUGUAUAUAUGCAAUUUAAAAAAAAAAAAAAAAAGAAAAGUGCUAUUUCGACAUUUCUUAACCUUCAUAUAAAAAUAUCAUAAUUUUUACUUGAGGAUGUAUAUAGUUUGAAAUAAUGCUAUUUUGAAGAGGGCAUAUAACACAAUGGAGUUUGUUAUGCAUUAAAAGAAAUGAAAAAAAAAAAAAAAAAAAAUAUAUAUAUAUAUAUAUAUAUAUAUAUAUAUAUAUAUAAAUACAUACAUAUAUAAAUAUAUUAUUUAGUUAAUCACUUAACCAUUUGAUCAACUAAAACUCAUUAAAUUUUUUAUAAUUUUUUUCUUUUUCCAUAAUUUACAAAUAUAGAAUUUUUCAGUAAAUGUAAAUAUUAUUUUUCAUUAAUCCCUUAGCUUUUACUAUCAUCAACUUGUAGAUUUUUUUUUUUUUUUUAAUUAAAGGCCUAUCGAGUGAAUAUCUCUAUCAUAAUGGUUUUCGGAAGUCCUUUUAGUGAUACUUAUCCAGCUUUUAUAUGGAAAAUUUUGGGGAAAAGUAGAAAAGGAAAAGACAUUUUUAAUCCUUUCUUUGUCGCUUUAAAUAAAACAAAAAUUUAUGAUCAUGUAUUAAAAUAUAAUAAUCGAUAUUGGCUUUUCGUUGUGACAACGGGCUGUAUCUCAUCUUAUUUUUGGGGGGUAUUCUUUAACAACUUUUGGAAGAAAAUAAAUAAAGGGAAACUAUACAUUGAUUGCCCUUACACGUACCCUGUAGAAGAAGAUUAACGAAGCAUAAACAAAAAAAAACAUAAACAAGGAAAAAAAAAAAAAUUAUUUGAAACGUUAAAAUAUUAAACCAUUACAAUUACGGUUAGGUUAAUGUCUUAUCAGUGGUUUAAUAAAAUUUGAUAGAAAUUAUAAGUAUAUUGAAUA